This 3999-nucleotide long non-coding RNA is filed under the name Malus domestica (apple). Its description in RNAcentral is "long non-coding RNA (MDOM_LNC009325)". The record is from RNAcentral. Lineage: Eukaryota; Viridiplantae; Streptophyta; Magnoliopsida; Rosales; Rosaceae.
UUGUAAGAGUUGGAAUGUAAUUUUCAUACACCUGUUAGAUUUUAGGGAACUUUAACGAAAAGUUCCCGGUAUUAUUUACUUUAACAAAAAAUCACAUUUUUACAUUAAAAAGUCAAUAUGGUACUAUUCACUUUACCCUUUAUUUUGUCCUUAUUGUUAAAACUCAAAGUUUUCAAACCUUUUUUAUUAGUUUUUCUUAUAUUUUAAUCGUCUCCCAUCUCAUUCCCUUUUUAUUUUUCUAAUUUCCCAAAAAAAAUAGAGGGAAAAAAAAACACAGCCCCCCCCCCUCAAAAAAAAAAAUAACGGGGCCAAGUGUAGGUGUGUGUAUAUAUGUAUAUAUGCAGUGUCCAGUAGGGAUGCUCAUCCUCCGGUUGGUACAUGGGAUCGUUGCUGUAAACGACAUAGUUUUGCCCAUUAUUAGCACCUUGAAACACAACAUCCGACCUCGGUGGUUUUGCCCCAGAUCAUAGCGACGUAGUGACCACACUCCUCUUUGACACAUUUGUUUAAUAAAUGUGGAAUAUGACAUCAUUCUCUUUUAUUAUCUACAGUUUAAAUUACAAAAAUACCCUUAAAUCUAAUGACCAUUUUUUCUUUCUAAAAUACUAAAACAUACAGAAAUCAAUAUGCAAAUAAACAAACUGUCAUUCGAAAAACAGAUUCAGUAAUUGGUUUCCUGGUUUCAACAAAUAUGCCUAACGUGGAAAGACUCGCACAUUCUUAGUGCCAUAAUUCUUCUCUCUCUCUCUCUCUCUCUCUCUCGUUGUGUGUCUGUUUUUCUUAAAAGACAUCGGUUGGGAUAUGUCAGUUUAUUUUGAUUGUUUAGCAACAAACCUUAUCCCAAAUUUGAAAUACAAAGACCCAGAUUAACUUGUUUUUUUUUAUUUUUUAGUUAUUAUUUCAUGAAUCUCUUAGGUGAGCAAGAAUUUAUGUCGGCACUAUCGCCUCCCAGUUUAUAACAUAAAAUCUUGCAUAGCUAAGAUAGAUUAAAGAAAACUUAGGAAAGGACCAAGAAUUUGUAGAUUAAGAAUUUACUCUGCACUUUCUGUCAAACUGCAUACAUUUUGGGGGUUUAAUGAUAAAAUUCUCGUUAUGGUAGUUAAUGAUGAGGACAACAAAGAUGUGCUUGCAUUAUUGUAUAUAGCUUGAGAGUGUGCUCCAAAUGAGAGGGAUUUCAAGGAAGUAGGAAGUACUCGAAGAAACAUUCCAUAUUUUAUUUGGUUUUGACUUGACCAAAUGAUACGCAAGCAUAUAGUUUUUUGGGACAUUUUUACCCAUACUUCUGAAGUGUUGUGGUGUUCUUGGAGAUAGUUCUCCAUCUUCAAGAUUUUUUUUUUUUUUUUUUUUUUGAGGUUGAAUUGAUUGAAUUUUAAAUUUGAUGUAUAGGUUCUUCACAUCUUCAUUCCGUAAUAGAGAAACCGUUAUCCUUUAUGUGGAAUGAAUGAUAUAUGCAUAUACAAGUUGAAGUCAUUUUCCUCUUAAAGCACCUUAAGUGGUUAAAGAGCCUUAGGGUUGGUCUGGAUUUUUGGUGCUUUUAAAAAAAAUAGUUUAUUAAAAAUUUUGGAAUAUUAAAUGUAUUUGGUAAAACAAAAAAAAAAACGUUUUUUUUUUUCAAAACAUAGUAAUCAAUGCUCAUUUAAUGAAAUUUCCAAGUGACAAGUAUACCCUCACAUGCUUUACAAAAUUACAACUUUUGCCCCUACAUUAUUGUCUUUGACAAUUAUUAUGUCACAUUAAAUAUCAUAUAUGUUUUAGUCAUUUAAUAUAUUCAAGGUAAUUUAUAUAAAAGUUUACCAAACACUCAAACACUACUUUUUAUUAUUAUUAUUAAAAGCACUUUUACAACAAAAAAAAAGUUUACCAAACGCUCAAUAACUUUAUUUUACAGCUAUUUAUUCUUACAUCACAGCAAAAAUAAUUUUUUAUAAAAAAAAACACAACAAUACCAAACUAUCCCUUAGUAGAAAAAUAAAUGUUUAACCACUUGCUAUAAUAACGGGUAAAAUGGCACCAGCACGUGAGUUUAUCGCUACUUUCAAGAAAAAAGACUCAAUGUACCAUAUGUUUGAUAGAAACACAAUGAGAAUCAAGGAACCUUCCCCUUGACAUUGUUCCCUCCCCAAAUCAUGUCGGUACUAUGUUGUUAUAAAUUGAUUCUAUUAAAAAUUCUACUAAAAAAGUAUACAAAACUGAUUUUACAUGUAUUUGAAAUUGAUUCUGCAAAAAAUGUCGAAAAUGAGUUAAACUGAUUCUGCAAAAAUGGUCAAUGAUUGAUUGAACUGAUUCUACAAAAAUGGUCGAAGACGGGGUUGGCCUAAUUCUGCAAAAAAUGGUCGAUGAAAGGUUGAAUUGAUUCUACAAAAAUGGUCGAGGACUGAUUCUGCAAAAAUGGUCAAGGACGGGUUGAACUAAUUAUGCAAAAAUGGUCCACGAUGGGUUGAAUUGAUUCUGCAAAAUGAUCGAGGAAAUGGUCGACGACGGAUUGAACUAGUUCUGCAAAAAUGGUCGAUGACGGGUUGAACUAAUUCUGUAAAAAUGGUUAAAGACGGGUUGAACUGAUUCUGCAAAACUAAUCUAUGACUGGUUAAUUUGAUUCUGCAAAAAUUGUCGAAAACUGAUUGAACUGAUUCUGCAAAAGUGAUCGAUGACGUGUUUGUCACUAAGGCAUGAAAAAGAGCUUAACAUAGAUCUAACAUCUCUAAGGCACAAUCUCUUUGGUAAAGAAGUCAAAUCACUGCAAGCAAGUUACUUAAAACCAAGGUAUUAAAUAUCGGUAAUAUCGGAAAUAUCGGUAGUCCGAAAACACGGAAAUAUCGAUGGAAAUAUCGGGAUAAUAUUGAUAUCGAUAAAAAUUACAUGGAAACCACGGAAAUUGUAAGAAAAACUUGGAAAUUUUUAUUGAAACUUUGCAGGAUGUUUAUUUAGUCAAUCAUCUAUUAGUUUAUCACAAAAAAUUGGAAGGAAAUGCAUUGCAUGAUGGAUUUAACAUUAUCAAGUUGAUUAUAUAGCGAGCUGACAAACAUUGUGAGUGUAGAAAAUAUGUAGUAAUUAAUGAAAGAAGUUUAAACACACCAUGAUUAUUUAUAUAUAAUGAAUUAGUACAAUAGUUUACACUUUAUACAUUGCAUGGUAAGAUACAUGAGUGACUUAGUACCACAUAGAGUUCCUAUGAGGUUCAAAAUUUUCACUAUCUUCAUCAUCUCUAUGUGUAGAAUGAGUGUAUUGUGAAGAGUAGUUAUCAAAUGAUAAAUCCCCAAAAUAGUUUUGCAUGUAAUUGUUAACAUGCCACCCAUAUGGAUCCGAGAUUGGUUGACAUUGUCCAUAAGCAAAAUCAUUUGAAGAUUGAGUCUCGGAUUGUUUCCAUGAGUCGCUCGAUUCCAUCCCAACAGGAAUGGGAUAUGAAGGGUAGGGAAAUGGUUGGUUAUGAGUAUUACCAUAGUUACUACUUCCCACUUAAUUACUUAAAAAAAUUAACAUGUAAUUGUUAACAUUACUUAAUUACUUAAAAAAAUUAACAUGCAAGUAUUAAUUACUUAAAAAAAAUUAACAUACGAGUCCACACAAAUUUAUUUGUUGUUGUAUAAAUUACAAUAAUAUAAAUAUAAGUUUGUAAACUUACCUUAAAUAUGGAACCCUUUGUGUUCAAGCUUUGGAAUUGAUCUGGAAUGGCUUUGAAAGGGGUAAGGGAAGAAGAAGAAACGAAAAUACUCUGAAUGGCUCUGAUACUCCACCUCUGAGAAUGUGAAAGAAUAGAAUAAUUAUACAACAUUACUUAAUUACUUAAAAAAAUUAACAUGUAAUUGUUAACAUUACUUAAUUACUUACAAAAAUUAACAUGCAAGUAUUAAUUACUUCAAAAAAUUAACAUACGAGUCCACACAAAUUUAUUUGUUGUUGUAUAAAUUACAAUAAUAUAAAUAUAAGUUUGUAAACUUACCUUAAAUAUGGAACCCUUUGUGUUCAAGCUUUGGAAUGGAUUUGGAAUGGCUUUGAAAAUGG